CUCCCCUUCCCUCCCCUCCCCUCCCCUUCCCUUCCUCAUCUUCCCUUCCCCUCCCCUUCCCUCCCCUCCCCUCCCCUCCCCUUCCUUCCCUCCCCUCCCCUUCCCUCCCCUCCCCUCUCCCUCUUCUCCCCUCCCCUCCCCUCCCUUCCUUCCCUCCCCCUCCCAUCCCCCUCCCUUCCCUUAUCUUCCCUUCCCUUCCCUCCCCUCCCCUUCCCCUCCCCUUCCUUCCCUCCCCUCCCCUUCCCUCCCCUCCCCUUCCCUUCCCUUCCCUUCCUCCCCUCCCCUCCCCCUUCCAUUCCCUUCCCCUCCCUUCCCUUCCUUCCUCAUCUUCCCUUCCCUCCCCCUCCAUCUUCUCCCCUCCCCUCCCCUUCCUUCCUCCCCUUCCCCUCCCCUUCCCUCCCCUUCCUCCCCUCCCCUCCCCUCCCCUUCCCUUCCUUUCCCUCCCCUCCCCUUCCCUCCCCUUCCCCUCCCCUUCCCUCCCCUUCCCUUCCUCAUCUUCCCUUCCCUCCCCUCCCCUUCCCUUCCCUUCCCCUCCCCUCCCCUCCCCUCCCCUUCCCUCCCCUUCCCUUCCCUUCCCUUCCCUCCCCUCCCCUCCCCUUCCUUCCUCCCCUCCCCCCUCCCCUCCCCUUCCCUUCCCUCCCCCCCUCCCCCUCCAUCUUCUCCCCUCCCCCCCUCCCCUUCCCUUUCCUCCCCUUCCCUCCCCUCCCCUUCCCUCCCCUUCCCUUCCCUUCCCUUCCCUUCCCUUCCCUUCCCUUCCCUUCCCUCCCCUUCCCUUCCUCAUCUUCCCUUCCCUUUCCUCCCCUCCCCUUCCCGUCCCUCCCCUCCCCUCCCCUCCCCUUCCCUCUUCUCCCUUCUCCUCCCCUCCCCUUCCCUUCCCUCCCCUCCCCUUCCCUUCCCCUCCCCUUCCCUCCCCUUCCCUUCCUCAUCUUCCUUUCCCUCCCCUCCCCCUCCCAUCCCCUUCCCUUCCUUUCCCUUCCCUUCCUCAUCUUCCCUUCCCUUCCCUCCCCCCCUCCCCUUCCCCUCCCCUCCCCUUCCCUCUUCUCCCCUCCCCUCCCCUCCCCUCCCCUCCCCCUCCCAUCCCCCUCCCCUUCCCUUCCCUCCCCUCCCCUUCCUCCCCUCCCCUUCCCUUCCUUCCCUCCCCUUCCCUUCCUCAUCUUCCUUUCCCUCCCCUCCCCUUCCCUUUCCUCCCCUCCCCCUCCCAUCCCCCUCCCCUCCCCUUCCUCCCCUUCCCCUCCCCUUCCCUUAUCUUCCCUUCCCUUCCCCUCCCCUUCCCUUCCCUCCCCUCCCCUCCCCUUCCCCUCCCCUUCCCUUAUCUUCCCUUCCCUCCCCUCCCCCUCCAUCUUCUCCCCUCCCCUCCCCUUCCCUUCCCUCAUCUUCCCUUCCCUGCCCCAGGAAGCGGCCAAGAUUUAAUAUGCAGAGGUGGAGAGACAGGCGCGAGGCGCGCAUCCUCACGGCAUGCCAUAUUUCAAACAAAGACUAUACAACAAAGGGCCGGCAGACGCGGGGAUUUGUCAGAAUUCAGCGAUGGGAAAGAUUUAUCUCAGCCGCGUGGAGGGGCCUGUGACCUUGGGCUUGAGAGCUUUAAAGCGAACAGGCGGUGGUUGAAGACGGAACAAAGAGCUGCUUGUGUGACGCCAUCGGCAUGUUCCACGGGCCACGGGAGGCCAGGUCAAAGGCGAAGGCGUUUCUAGUCCGCAAAACGGAAGGUCAGCCUCUCUCUCUGUCCAUCUCUCUGCGUCCCUGUCUCUGUCUCUCCAACGUCUUCUGUCUCUCUCCUCACCCAGGGCCCCCGGAACAUAUGUCCGAAGCUACUGCUGAGUCUGUGGCCUUGUAUUAUCUGCUCAUUUAGCUGUUGUGUUGGUGAUGCCCGGAAGGGAAUUUCUCCCCAGCCUGGUCAUGACGCUUCGGCCGGGGAGAAGGAUCGCGUCUGAAUUCUCCCUCCUGCCGGAAAAUCCUUCUUCGCAUCUCAUCUAUAUCCCUCGUGCUGCAGCGUAAACUUAUUUCAUGGUCUGCUUUUAAUUUUCAUUCACUUCCCGCGGCGCCUGGCGGGGGGGGGGGGCUCAGUCGGUUAAGCGUCCCCGACUUCGGCUCGGGUCAUGAUCUCGCGGUCCGUGGGUUCGAGCCCCGCGUCGGGCUCUGGGCUGGCGGCUCGGAGCCCGGAGCCCGCUUCGGAUUCUGGGUCUCCCUCUCUCUCUGCCCCUCCCCUGCUCCUGCUCUGUUUCUCUCUGUCUCAAAAAUAAAUAAACACAUUUAAAAAAAAUUAA
RNAcentral lists this long non-coding RNA (2264 nucleotides) under Felis catus (domestic cat). RNAcentral's name for it is "lncRNA (ENSFCAG00000044206.2)". The record is from RNAcentral. Lineage: Eukaryota; Metazoa; Chordata; Mammalia; Carnivora; Felidae.